UACAACUGCAAUAUCCACAUUUGCAAUGAAGAGAAGGGAUCAGGUGCGCGCCCUUUAAAUGGUACAAAAUGAUUCUGAACUCACCAGCUUGACAUCGAUACAGGCACCCCUAGUCAAUGUAGAGAUCAGAGGAGUGCCAGCACUUAAAUUUUUGGGAGACAUCAUAUGGAAAUGAGCUCUGAAGAGCAAUAUCAGAAAUGCAGAGAGCCUCCUCCAUCUUUGUGGUAGGCUUGCAUACACUUGGAGGAGCAGCUAAGUUACCAAAGAAAAUAAGAAUAGUCAUUCAUUGGCAAACAAGAUAGUUCCAGUACAGCUUUUAACAAAAUUUACGUAAGAAGAAACCAUUUCGUUGAGUGGCAAUUACAGGAUACAGAAGAUGAAACCCCUAAUAAUCAAGAAGCCAUAUAGGAAAGGUAACGGUUGCAUGUUAAGUUUUUCCAUAUUAACAUGGUUCUUGUUGCAUAUACAUGAAGUUUGUAUUUGUUCUUUUCAAGUCAGUUAGAUUUCUCA
Molecule: long non-coding RNA, 510 nt
Organism: Manihot esculenta (cassava)
Lineage: Eukaryota; Viridiplantae; Streptophyta; Magnoliopsida; Malpighiales; Euphorbiaceae
Exons: 2
Source: RefSeq, a predicted model, not a curated record